CAGCCGCCACGGGAAUACGAAGGGUGCAAGCGUUAAUCGGAAUUACUGGGAGUAAAGCGCGCGUAGGUGGUUUGGUAAGAUGGAUGUGAAAUCCCCGGGCUCAACCUGGGAACUGCAUCCAUAACUGCCUGACUAGAGUACGGUAGAGGGUGGUGGAAUUUCCUGUGUAGCGGUGAAAUGCGUAGAUAUAGGAAGGAACACCAGUGGCGAAGGCGACCACCUGGACUGAUACUGACACUGAGGUGCGAAAGCGUGGGGAGCAAACAGGAUUAGAUACCCCAGUAGUCCCUGUCUCUUAUAA
This 301-nucleotide ribosomal RNA is filed under the name uncultured bacterium. RNAcentral's name for it is "partial 16S ribosomal RNA". It matches the Rfam family "Bacterial small subunit ribosomal RNA", at positions 509 to 809 of the family's 1533-position model. The record is from RNAcentral.